This 523-nucleotide ribosomal RNA is filed under the name uncultured bacterium. Its description in RNAcentral is "bacterial SSU rRNA". It matches the Rfam family "Bacterial small subunit ribosomal RNA", at positions 28 to 507 of the family's 1533-position model. The record is from RNAcentral.
GAUGAACGCUGGCGGCGUGCUUAAUACAUGCAAGUCGAACGGACCGAGCCUAGCAGGAAGCUUGUGGAGAGUAGGGAGUAGGAGAAAUCUUGCGAGCUACAGGAAGCGAGUGGGCGGCUAGAAUCGGUUAGUGGCGAACGGGUGAGUAACACGUGGGUGACCUACCCUAAAGUGGGGAAUAACCGCUCGAAAGGGCAGCUAAUUCCGCAUGGGGUCCGGCAUUCGGUUGUCGGAUCAAAGGCGCAAGCCGCUUUAGGAGGGGCCCGCGGCCGAUUAGCUAGUUGGUGGGGUAAAGGCCUACCAAGGCAAAGAUCGGUAGCUGGUCUGAGAGGAUGAUCAGCCACACUGGCACUGAGACACGGGCCAGACUCCUACGGGAGGCAGCAGUAAGGGAUAUUGGACAAUGGGGGAAACCCUGAUCCAGCAACGCCGCGUGGGCGAUGAAGGUCUUCGGAUCGUAAAGCCCUUUUCUGCGGGAAGAGGAAGGACGGUACCGCAGGAAUAAGUCUCGGCUAACUACGUG